CGCCCGAGAGAGAGAGGAGAGAGAGAGAGAGAGAGGAGAGAGAGAGAGAGAGAGAGAGAGAGAGAGACUCGUAGACGCUGAACCUGUUUUCAUGCCUUCAGUGGAGCGGAGCGGGCGAUGGAUGUGAGAUUUUAUCCUGCACCCCCUUCGAGCGUGGGCUCCUGCACGUUAUCCACCGACUCCAGCCUCGCCUCUCUGGACUAUUACCACUGCAACAAGCCAGUUAUGCGAGACCCCCAAGAGCAGCUGGCUGGGUUGUGUUACCUGAAACGUAAGUCCUCUCAUGUUGUAUCAUUUACACCCAUCUGCAUUAAUGGAGUGUGUGUAUGAGAGAGAGUAGGUUCUCUGUGUGUGUGUGUGUGUGUGUGUGUGUGUGUGUGUGUCUUCACCAAUGAAUGGAAUCUUAAGCAUUGCCCCGUUCCCUUGUUCCCCAUCAGUAGCAGAUAAAGACCCUCUUAUAGUCCUCGCAUUGUGUUAACACACACACACACACACACACACACACACACACACACACACA
Molecule: long non-coding RNA, 520 nt
Organism: Ictalurus punctatus (channel catfish)
Lineage: Eukaryota; Metazoa; Chordata; Actinopteri; Siluriformes; Ictaluridae
Source: Ensembl